GGCCUGCCAUCACCAUCUCCCGGGAACCAUCUUCCCUCCUUCACUUCCCAUCCAUUUUUACACUCCAACUUCAAAUUUAAUUUGUAUUCACUUUUCCAAUGAGUGACCAAGACCAACCUCCUCCUCCUCCUCCUCCUCCACCACCCCAACAACAUCCACCGCCACCACCACCCACUAAUGGCGAAGGCAAACCUCCUCCUAUACCCAGCCCACCACCACCACAACAAGGUGGUGCAGGCCGUUCUUGUUGCUUAUUCAUUUUCAUCUUCCUCCUCUUAGCAGGAGCCGCAGUACUCACCGUCUGGCUCAUCUACCGUCCCCACAAACCCCGUUUCGUCGUC
RNAcentral lists this long non-coding RNA (341 nucleotides) under Gossypium barbadense (sea-island cotton). RNAcentral's name for it is "long non-coding RNA (GBAR_LNC021810)". The record is from RNAcentral. Lineage: Eukaryota; Viridiplantae; Streptophyta; Magnoliopsida; Malvales; Malvaceae.